CUUUCAGGGCAAGAUUGGCUACAUAUCCACUCAGAGUGCUAGGAUAACCUUAGGGUUUUGGUAUCUUUGUUUUUGUCAAGCCAGUCUGGCAGGGGCAGAAGAAUGCAUGGAGCCAUCAAGGCAGCUGAAGGAAGGAAUAGAGCUUGGGCAGACACUUAAGUCACCAAGAUUAUCCACUGUAUCCCAGGCCAUCCCCAGUCACUCUGGCUUCUGUCUCAACGCUGGACUUCAAUGACUCUGGAAGAGAGAGAGAGGCUGAUGAUUGUGUGCAAAUCUGCAUCACUGAAAUACAACUCAAGGACAAGUCAAGACAUCACCCUGUGAUAUCACUGGUCCUUUUCCAAAACGAAGGAUAAACAACAACAUCAUAGCAGAGCAUGUGGAAAAUACUCAAUACAUAUUUGUUAAAUUAAAUUGAAUUUUUGGAUAAAAAGCUAGAAUGAAUAAAUCAAUAAACAUUUAUUUAGUGUG
Long non-coding RNA from Antechinus flavipes (yellow-footed antechinus), 471 nucleotides. RefSeq lists it as uncharacterized. The record is from RefSeq and is a predicted model, not a curated record. The transcript is spliced from 3 exons. Lineage: Eukaryota; Metazoa; Chordata; Mammalia; Dasyuromorphia; Dasyuridae.